This is a long non-coding RNA of Aplysia californica (California sea hare), 1522 nucleotides long. RefSeq lists it as uncharacterized. The record is from RefSeq and is a predicted model, not a curated record. Lineage: Eukaryota; Metazoa; Mollusca; Gastropoda; Aplysiida; Aplysiidae. The transcript has 2 exons.
UCGGGAAUAAUUUCUGCAUACCGUACGGCAAGAAGUGCUUCAGAUUAACGAUUGGUGUGUGUGUGUGUUGCACAAUCGAACUCUAUUGCUUAUUGUUGUUAAAAAAUAUUUGUAGUUGUAUAAAACUUUGUGAUACGACGAUAUGCCAACUAUGCGGAAGAGCUGAAACAUCUGCUUUGAAAGCUUUCAUUAUUGUUCAACGUGGGGCCUACUCCGAUUUUGUCGAAGCUGCCAAAGGUUUGGCCGGACGGUUCUCAGAAUUCAAAGACUGAGCUAAAGGAAGUACAGAAAGCAAACGUCAUACUGUGCCAGCUAUGAUUAAUUGUCUCCAGGGCCGAAGUCUAAGAAACUUGUUUACAAAUUGUGCCUCGUAUCGACCUUCAUCGCCCCGACUAACUUAUCGUCAGCCAAUGGUUGAACAGUAUUGAGCUCACGCCCCCAGUUUGAGCCAAUCGUUAAGCUCGAAUUUUUGUUCCUGAAAUAGAUCUCCGUGUUCGACCACGCUGCAGAAACUAGCGGAAACUCGGUCAGCGGAGUCGUGUGUUGAGGAUCAGGACAAUCGCUGUGUUUGCUGGAGACCACAACGUAGAUCUAGAUCUAGACCUGAACUCACUCUCAACCCGCCACUGAUGUAAGUCAGAGGUCAGUUUUCCAUCUGGUGUAACAAUACGGCUUCUGUGUUAACUAACCUGGUCUUAUCUCGACUGAGUGUUGUGACCGGAAUCGCCAAGCCAAGGCCUACGUGUGGAUGUGGUUGUUUUUGAGGCAACAAAGCAACACCCGCCAAGUCCGCUGCCCCACAAACAGAUUGUUGACAGUUGAGAGGGAGGGUGAGACUCACCAAACGCAGAGGUAGCUCAUACGUCAUCGUGAAGUGUCCCGUCUUGCUGGUCUCUCAUCCGUGACGGCCGUAACAAAUCUUCUGUUGUGUCGUCCGCUUUCACAGAAAGCACCCGGAUACAGCGAGGACAGAACGGAUGUCUUGUUAACCAGGAUAUAAUAUAAACUUGCACUCGUAGGUGUCGAUACCUAUCCUACCUCCCGGUUCUCGUGCAGCUCGGCUCAACGGAAACCCCAAGUGGUCAGAUGCUACGAGGUCGUGUGACGGACGCACGAAGCCACCUCCAACAUUCCGAAGUCCUGGCCCGAAGAGAGCGGCUGGAGACCGAGAAAGUCAUCAACAAAGACGCCCUUCGACUACUCAGCACGGAGCGUGAGCUCAUCUUGUUGACCAUCAUCAGCGACUUUUUCAUAGACCUAUAACCUCCCAGUUCUCUGGCGGCCGAAAAGCGUGUUGAUUCUGUGUGCUGUCGGUUUAUCGUUUGUUUCUCUUCUCGAAGAGACUGUUCAGUUUUUUCUUUUGCUGUUUGCAAGUUCAGUUUAUGAUUCCUUUUGUUUUGGAGUAGAUGUUUAUUGAGCACAGUCUGUGAUUUAAAAAGAAGUAUAAUUAUACGAGUGGAAAUAAAGAAACACAUCGAUUCUUAGAACAAAACUUGGUACGUCUUAAUUUGUAUACACCGCG